This is a long non-coding RNA of Hibiscus syriacus, 193 nucleotides long. RefSeq lists it as uncharacterized. Lineage: Eukaryota; Viridiplantae; Streptophyta; Magnoliopsida; Malvales; Malvaceae. The transcript is spliced from 2 exons. The record is from RefSeq and is a predicted model, not a curated record.
CCUUGGCUUAAGAAAAGAUCUUUACCAGAGAUGCAAAGAACCCAUGGAAGGUUAUGUGGGAUGCAUGUAUUACCACACAAAUGAGUUCGAUUUAUGCUGCAACAGCAGCAGGCGUUCGAGAAAGCUUGCCCUUUGGAGUGAUUCUCGGCAAGCAAAGCAUUGUUUGAGAUUUCCAUUCUUGAAAUAAGUUUUG